RNAcentral lists this ribosomal RNA (497 nucleotides) under uncultured bacterium. Its description in RNAcentral is "partial 16S ribosomal RNA". It matches the Rfam family "Bacterial small subunit ribosomal RNA", at positions 28 to 507 of the family's 1533-position model. The record is from RNAcentral.
GAUGAACGCUGGCGGCGUGCCUAAUACAUGCAAGUCGAGCGAACAGACGAGGAGCUUGCUCCUCUGACGUUAGCGGCGGACGGGUGAGUAACACGUGGAUAACCUACCUAUAAGACUGGGAUAACUUCGGGAAACCGGAUCUAAUACCGGAUAAUAUAUUGAACCGCAUGGUUCAAUAGUGAAAGACGGUUUUGAUGUCACUUAUAGAUGGUUCCGCGCCGCAUUAGCUAGUUGGUAAGGUAACGGCUUACCAAGGCUACGAUGCGUAGCCGACCUGAGAGGGUGAUCGGCCACACUGGAACUGAGACACGGUCCAGACUCCUACGGGAGGCAGCAGUAGGGAAUAUUGCGCAAUGGGCGAAAGCCUGACGGAGCAACGCCGCGUGAGUGAUGAAGGUCUUCGGAUCGUAAAGCUCUGUUAUUAGGGAAGAACAACUGUGUAAGUAUAUCUGGCCGUUUUGACGGUACCUAAACAGAAAGCAACGGCUAACUUCGUG